This 391-nucleotide ribosomal RNA is filed under the name uncultured bacterium. RNAcentral's name for it is "bacterial SSU rRNA". It matches the Rfam family "Bacterial small subunit ribosomal RNA", at positions 29 to 420 of the family's 1533-position model. The record is from RNAcentral.
AUUGAACGCUGGCGGAAUGCUUUACACAUGCAAGUCGAGCGGCAGCGCGGGGGCAACCCUGGCGGCGAGCGGCGAACGGGUGAGUAACAUAUCGGAACGUACCCCGUCGUGGGGGAUAACACAGCGAAAGCUGUGCUAAUACCGCAUACGACCUGAGGGUGAAAGCGGGGGAUCGCAAGACCUCGCGCGAUGGGAGCGGCCGAUAUCGGAUUAGCUUGUUGGUGAGGUAAAGGCUCACCAAGGCGACGAUCCGUAGCUGGUCUGAGAGGACGACCAGCCACACUGGAACUGAGACACGGUCCAGACUCCUACGGGAGGCAGCAGUGGGGAAUUUUGGACAAUGGGGGGCAACCCUGAUCCAGCCAUUCCGCGUGAGUGAAGAAGGCCUUGG